GCUCUCGUGGCCCAGUUGGUUAGUGCGUCGUACUUAUAAUGCGAAGGUCGAGGGUUCGAUCCCCUCCUGGAGCA
This is a non-coding RNA of Dendronephthya gigantea, 74 nucleotides long. The record is from the annotation of a RefSeq genome assembly. Lineage: Eukaryota; Metazoa; Cnidaria; Anthozoa; Malacalcyonacea; Nephtheidae.